GAUGAACGCUGGCGGCGUGCCUAAUACAUGCAAGUCGAGCGAACAGACGAGGAGCUUGCUCCUCUGACGUUAGCGGCGGACGGGUGAGUAACACGUGGAUAACCUACCUAUAAGACUGGGAUAACUUCGGGAAACCGGAGCUAAUACCGGAUAAUAUAUUGAACCGCAUGGUUCAAUAGUGAAAGACGGUUUUGCUGUCACUUAUAGAUGGAUCCGCGCCGCAUUAGCUAGUUGGUAAGGUAACGGCUUACCAAGGCGACGAUGCGUAGCCGACCUGAGAGGGUGAUCGGCCACACUGGAACUGAGACACGGUCCAGACUCCUACGGGAGGCAGCAGUAAGGAAUCUACCGCAAUGGGCGAAAGCCUGACGGAGCAACGCCGCGUGAGUGAUGAAGGUCUUCGGAUCGUAAAACUCUGUUAUUAGGGAAGAACAAAUGUGUAAGUAACUAUGCACGUCUUGACGGUACCUAAUCAGAAAGCCACGGCUAACUACGUG
This 497-nucleotide ribosomal RNA is filed under the name uncultured bacterium. Its description in RNAcentral is "partial 16S ribosomal RNA". It matches the Rfam family "Bacterial small subunit ribosomal RNA", at positions 28 to 507 of the family's 1533-position model. The record is from RNAcentral.